Cynoglossus semilaevis (tongue sole) is the source of this 7461-nucleotide RNA transcript. It is a transcript of the gene named copine I, with no coding region annotated. Lineage: Eukaryota; Metazoa; Chordata; Actinopteri; Pleuronectiformes; Cynoglossidae. The record is from RefSeq and is a predicted model, not a curated record. The transcript has 4 exons.
GACUACCAACGACAUCUCGUAUCAGUUUGUGGGAUAUCGCGGUGUUUGUGCCGACAUUUCGUGUGUCGGGUGCAUCCUGCAAAAAGAAGAGCACAUAAGAAAGAGAGAUCCUGUUCACCAAAAAAAACCUCUGUGUUUGUUCACACAUUUCUCGGUUUCAGUGUCCUACAGAAAUCAUCAGUCUGGUUUACAGUGAAUCUAUUCACAACUUAGUUGCUUUGGUUUUAGCGCUGUUGUUUAGCAGUCAUUAUGGCAGUAGUCAUCAGGCUGCAGGGUCUGCCCAUAGUGGCUGGAACCAUGGACAUCAGACACUUCUUCUCUGGUCUCACUAUCCCUGAUGGGGGAGUACACAUCGUUGGGGGUGAGCAUGGUGAGGCUUUUAUCGUCUUUGCCACUGAUGAGGAUGCUCGGCUGGGUAUGAUGCGUACAGGAGGGUCAAUUAAGGGAUCCAAAGUUUCCCUUCUACUUAGCAGUAAGACAGAAAUGCAGAAUAUGAUUGAACUUAGUCGGCGUAGGUUUGAGGCUGGUGCAGGUGCUGUCGAAGCAGCGACACCUGCAACAGGAAUUGCUAAUCGUCAAGCAGGUGCUGCUCCCAUGCCCGCAGUGCAGCCAGGGGCAGGCGGCAGAGGUGGAAAUCAAGGAUUCAGUAACAUAUCAGCCACAGUAACAGCGGCAAGUUCAACCCAGGAGCUACCAAGCAACAAAGCUCCACCCAGCUUGGCUAGUGUAGCGCCCUGCUUCCCUAACAGCUAUAGCUCCACUCCUACAAUUACAACAGCUAUGGCAUCACUCAGCGCUGUACCCCCAACCAUUCCUCCACUUUCUAAUUUGCCUUCCAUGCCACCAAUGCCCACAUUGCCCACAAUUCCAGUCCCCCCUCCAGUUUCCUCUCUGCCCCCUGUCCCCACUGUUUCGCCUCUGUCCCAAGGACCUCCAGUACCUCCUAUGUCUCACCUUCCCCACAUGUCUUCGCUGCCUCCAUUCAAUCCUUCUCUUCCUCCACCUGCGGGUUUGGCUUCUGGGCUUCCCCUUGGAACUCCCAAUCCAAUGCUUUUUAAUCCUCUUUCUCCCUUAGCUUAUGGCCUUCAGGCACAUAUGAAGGCUGCUGCAGCAGCCAGUGGAGCAGUUGCAGCCAGCCCGGAUGAGUUAUUUGUCCUCUUGCAGAAUCUCCCAUUCUCCUGUUCAGAGGUUGAUGUCAGAGAAUUUUUCCGCGGUUUGGGUGUAAAUGGAGUUCGUCUGAUAAGGGAUGCGCAGGGUCGGCCGUCUGGUAGGGCUGUGGUGAAGUUUUUCUCACCCCAGGAGAGCUUUGAAGCUGUGAAGAGGGGGGGUGGUAUGAUGGGCCAACGGUUUAUUGAGAUCUCACCAUCCUCUGAGCGACAGUGGGCCAGCCUUAGUGACAGUAUGACCAACCAUGCACCUCACAAUAGUAAAUCAGACAACAACAGUGAAUCACAGGAUCCGCAGCAUCGCCGCAGCAAUAUCGGGUCUGGAAACCGGGAUCAGCGAGGAAGAUCACGCUCUCCCCACCGACAGGAUUUCUGUAUUUACUUGAAGGGCCUUCCCUAUGAGGUUGAAAAGAAACAGAUUAAGGAGUUCUUUAAGAAUUUGGCCAUUGUGGAGGACAGCAUCUACAUUGCCUAUGGACCCAAUGGACGAGCCACAGGAGAGGGCUUUCUUGAAUUUAAAACAGAACAAGACUACAAGACUGCUCUGGAUGCUCACAUGCAGUACAUGGGCUCUCGCUUUAUUCAGGUCCACCAAAUCAGCCGGAAGGGAAUGCUUGAAAAAAUUGACACGAUUCGCAAACGUGAUGCAAGCCAUGGCGAUGGAAAGAACCAGGAUAGCUUAAAAGCACCCCGGAACUGUGCCCACAUUACGAACAUCCCAUACAAUAUUUCGAAGAAGGAUGUCCGUGCCUUUCUAGAGGGUGUUGGGCUUUAUGAAGACAGUCUGAAGGUUUUGACAGAUAGCCAUGGUAAUGGAUUAGGACAAGCUAUCUUUCAGCUCCGGACCGAAGAAGACGCCCGCAAAGCUGAAAGAUUGCACCGCCAAAAGCUUAACGGACGUGAUGCCUUUGUUCAUCUUGUAACAUUUGAUCAGAUGAAGGAAAUUGAGAGGAAUCCUCCUCCUCAAAACAAAAGGGGGCAACGCAACCAAAACCAGCAGAACCAAAAUCAGAGUCAACAAAAGCAAACACAGCCCAGUCCCCAUCAGCCUCAAAUUAACCCAUUUGCUGGGAUCAGUGGGGAGGAAUUUAACUUUCUUAGAAACACUAUGGGGAACCUAAACACUCCAUUUGUGACUCCAUUUUCUGCUCCAGGGAAUGGAUUGGCAGGCCCCCCACCUCUGCCUCCUCUGGCAGCAGGACUUGGGGAUGUAAAUUUGGGUGUGGCUCCUCCACUUGUUACAGGUCUUCCUGGAGGUCCUAUUCUUGAGCCACCUGGCUUUCGUCCUGGAGCAGGUGCUGGUGCUCCAUUUGGUCCAGAUGGACUGAGAGGACUGGUGCCCUUUGAAAAUGCCACCAGAAAAGGGGGUGGAGGUGGACAAAACAGGGGGGGAGGAGCUAACAACAAUCAAGGCCGUCCAGCUGGUGGAGUUCCCGGUGGACAGCAGGUUUUCACUCCAGGAGCUGAGAGUCUCCAUACCCAGCCAACCCCAGGAGGUUCCUCCAAUGCCAAUAAUCAACGUGGAGCUGCUGGUCCAACUAUUGUUAAACUUCAAAAUAUGCCUUUCACAGUAACCAUAGACGAAAUUAUGGACUUCUUUUAUGGCUACCAGGUACUGCCAGGCUCUGUCUGCCUUCAAUUCAGUGAAAAAGGCUUGCCAACUGGUGAGGCUAUGGUAGCCUUCCAAAACCAUGAGGAGGCGGCUGCUGCUGUCAUGGACCUGAAUGAUCGGCCUAUCGGAGCUCGUAAGGUCAAGAUAAGUCUCGGUUAAAAUCUUGGUCAAUAGAACACUAACUGUACAUAGACAAUGUCAACGCCAACCAGUGGGACACCAACAUAAAGCCUACCUAAUUAAUGGACUAAUACCCUGAAUGCAUCUACUAAAGGACCCCCUCUCCUAUCUUUGUAGAUAAUAACAGGUAAGCCCCACCCUGCUGUCUGUCCAAAAGAAGCCAGGCUUGUACUUCCCUACAGGAUCAAGAUUUACUUUAAAGCACAAUCUCGUAAUGAUGAUGAUGGAGGUAGUGUUAAUAGUGGUGAUGAGACCGAGUGUUUGUAUGCUUGCUUUUUUUUUUCUUUUUGAACCGAGUGGAAAAUUAUGUUCAGAGGUGACGCCCAAAACAUAAUUGGCUGCUUUUUGUUAUCAAGUAACAUGAACAUUGUCUGAGACAUUGUUGCAUUAAUUGUUUAUAUAUGCUGCUGUGGUUUCACAACACCAUGCUCUGUUAAUAAUGUAAAUCGCAAUCCCAUGAUUGAAAUCCACUAGUCAAGUAUUCUGUGGGUACGUUGAAAAAAACGUUUGUUUUGUUGCUUUGGAAAACUCCCUAAAUGCUCUGUUGCUAUGUUUAAAAUCUUUCUAUACUCCGUUGCUAUGGUUAAACCUUUUCAUGCCCUUUUGCUACUGUAAAUCAUGCUGUAGAUGAAAGUGAACUGUAGGUGCUCUCUUGCUAUGGUCCUCGCUUUGUGUUGCUAUGAUAAAAAAUUAUGAUAUCAAGCUAUGUUGCUGUGAUCAAAUGAUCGUGUUCCGUUUCUGUGGUGAAAUGUUGAUAUGUCCAAUUGCUAUGGUAACAAUUAUAUUGUCACCAAACCUUUGUAAAAGGCUGAAACUGUUGCUCUGCUUUCAUGACAAUGCUUUUCUGUUUUGCAGUGCUCUGUGAAUGUUGGAUUGACAGAUGGUUUAUUUGAUUUAUAUUUUAAAUAAUGACUCUGGUUGCUGAAUCCUUUCCCUUUGUCACAUUUGUUCAACAUUAUUGUGUUUCACCUAUGUCACCACCCUUUUUACAGUACAUGCUUAGCAGGCAUUUGGUCUGGACACCAUUGAGAUGAAAUGUAGGAAUUUUAGUUUGGUAUGUUUUUUGUUGUAUGAUUCAUGCUGUUCAGGAGGUUUCCAUCUUCAGUUUAUUUUUGUUUCUUGUCUUAGUAUAAAGAAAUGUGUAUAAACAUAACAUUAUGUGGAGUCUCCCUUGCAUUUAAUAAUAAAAAAGCACAUUCCUGAUGCACUAAUGCUCGCCUGCAGUCAGCUUUCUGAGUUUCUUAUCUUUACUCUCUCAUAUAUAAAUACACCUAAUAUUUUUGUGAUUAUAGUACCAAAUAUUUGCUCAAACUUGAUCAUAUCUUUAAAUUAAAUGUAAAUACAAAUGAACCUUUUUAUGUUGUUCAUGUUGUUGGUUGAGCUCUACCUUGAGUUGUAAUUGGAUUCCACUUGGUCAUACGUGUUCAGAUAUUUUUAAAAUGAAAACCUUAUACAUUAGGAGCUAAUGUUACUUUCACUGUGAAUAUUUAUAUCAACUUCAGCAUGAUUAUGAAAUGCGGUGAUCAUCAGUGGUACACUACGAAAACAUAAGAAGCAGUGUUCAAAUGAAUGCCUUGUAAUGGGACCGUAGUUGUUAACAUACUCAAGUAUGUAACUACUUUUGCCUAGAGUUUACAUAUUUAAAUUCAAUUUAGCCUGCAGGGGCGCUGUGAUUGCCGUUGUAAUGCCCUUUGUUGAACAUGCUGGUAUUGGUUUUUUCCUUUAAAUUGUUUCAAAUAUUUUUCACUAGAAUACUUUUGGAAUCUAAUUGUCAACUGGAUAUCAAUCUGACCACUGGUUGAUGUCUGAUGUGCUGUCUCUUCAACAUUGCUUUGCCAUAACAUUACGGUCAGUGUAGCCAUCGUUACUAUAGUAAAGGGCAGUAGUGAUAGAGGUACUCUUUGAAUUUCAGUAGUAAAGUAAAACUGUUUCUCGUCAUAGUGUGUCUUCAUAAAAACACUUUAGGACUAAAAUAUCUGGCGUUAUUCUAUCUUAUUUGUGACAAUUGUGUGUCAAACAUACAUUGAUAUUGGUACCUUGAACAGGAUAAUGCUGACGAGAAGAGUUUUUGAAGAGGAAAUAUUUGCUGCUGUCAUAAAACGAGCACUCCACAGGAUGUAGUGUUGAACUGUGUGUGUGUGUGUGUGUGUGUGUGUGUGUGUGACUAAGAGACAAUAAUAAAAUGCUUUGAAAUACCUUUUACGUUAUGCAUCAACAGUUGUUACAUAAUUGUGUCUGUCUUUUGGACUUUGGCUGAAGAAAUACACAAAUGUGUUUGUUUGGUGAGGUAACGUUAUUGCUGAAUGACACCUGGCUGUGAGUCAUUUACCUGCUGAGACCCCCCUGCUACUGAUCAGUAGACAUAACGAAAGCAGGACUUACAGGUGAGUGACGGACAUGCAAAAAAGCUAUGCUCAGAAUAUGGCUUGAUGACAUUGUAGAAAAAUACUUACACCUAUUCAGUAUUUGUAUAUGACUUUGUAUACGGAAACUUGAGGUGAUGGUUUGUUUAGGACCUUUAUGCAGACAUUAGCUUAUAGUUAUGUCUGUUCGUGUUCAUAUAUGUGGUCUGAUGUUUGGCUAUAUAUAAGAAUUUAAAAGUAUUGCAUUGAUGCAACAAUGCGUUACUCUGUUGAUUGUAGAGGUUAGCCGUUGGCUUUGAGAUGAAGCAAAACCCUAAAUAAAUAUAAUAAAUGAUAGAGAUAUUAGCUAUUUGCUUAGACUGUGAAAGUAGCCCUACUGUAUGUGUUAGGGAUUAAUUGUAGUUCGGUGACAUCAAGCUGCAUGGAUCCACUUAUCUGUAGAUAGGGCCAUAUGUUGAGGUCAAGCUACAAUUACUUUGCUUAACAUGUAUUGCCUUUGCCUUGUUAGAUAAGCCACUGUGCUGUUGUAUUUGAAUCCAGUUGACACUUAACUACAUGGUCAUUUUUUUGCAUAUGUGAAACAUUAGAACAUGAUAGCAUUUUGUGCAGAAAGUCCAGUGCAAAAAGCAUGGUAACAGUUAGUGGUAGAUGUAUGUUUAAGUAUAUAAUACAAAAUAAGACUAAUAGGCUUGUGGUUGUUCCCAAAAAUAGCUAAAAUGAAGAGAACAUGUAAGAAAACUUUGUUUUCCAGGAUACUGCUGUUUUAUCCAAUUACCUGCUGGUCUACAUUGGUAGCAUGACAUAAAAAGACAGCUUGGUGUGGCUGGAAAAAUAGCAGAGAGAAUCUUUUAUACAUCUUUUAUAUGGAAUUUACAUGGAGCAUACAAAUGAGCAUGAUGUUACUGUUAACUGAUUUUACAUAGAUAUUUACAUGUUUCAAUGGUCCAAAGAUUGUGUUUGACUUUGACAUGAUGGCUUUAACAGGUGUAUUCAUUUUGUAAUAUUAGAAAGUGUAACAAAAUUUAAUAAAGCCUAAAAAUUGAGCUACACUAAUAGUCUAGUUAGCAAAUAAUAGCCACAAGAAUUUAAAUUGAAUGACAAACAUCAUUUGUAUAAAUUCCAGAACAGAGACGGAGAUAUGACGGUAUUAUUGGCUUCAAUAAUCAGGUUCUUGGAAUUUAGUCUCUCGUGAAUGAUCUUAGAUGGUAUAUAUGUAUGUGUGUGUGUGUUUAUGGCCAGUUCGGCAAUUGAUUCAAAAUGUUAAAGAAAUAAUCAGAGUUUGGUGAUGCUACCAAAGAAGAGAGACAGGAACUCUUUCUUUCUUUGUGAAACCAAGUUCACGUUGUCUCUACAUUGUAGCGAUAUCGGAGAGAAAAACAUUUCUAGUUUUCUUGUGUUUUAUUUCCCAAACUGUGAGGUGCUCUAUCUCUAUCUCUGAGUUUUCUGUACCUUUGCAAAAUAUGAGUUACAACAAUCCGUUGUAUGCUUUACUAUAUUGUUUGGAAAGGCUGUUCGCUUGGAAUUGUAUGUUUUCUGCUGCAGGUGGGGCAUUCAUUUGUGUUUUCUGUUUUUGUUCUUCAUCCACAUUCUGGAUUUUGUGUCAUUACAUUUUGUUAUUUUAAAAGAGGCCACUGUACCAUUUUGAUUUAUUUAAUGGAACAUGUAAGGGAUGAUAUAAACUUUGAUUGUAACAAAUAGUUAUGUAACUGAACACAGUAACUUUAUAAUGCUGAAACUAUAUUAUGUUCUGGACUUUCUGAAGUACUCAGUAUUGCUGAGUACUCAGUAUUGCUGAUCUGGCUCAAGUCUUUUGCCUACAUAUUUUCUCAUGUAUCCUUUAAUGUUGCUCUAUGUCUGGGUGAACGUACUGUUGGUGUUUUAUUUUGAAAAUGCAUAGUGAACAUCCUGUCUUGCGCCUACAAGUUUUGAGGGGCAGGAAACGCCCGCCAAUUGUGCUAAACCCAGAGGGCGUGAUUGACAGUCACGUUGUCUAAUCAGAGCGCAGCUCUUUAGGUUCUGCCCAAUAAGGGCACAGCUACUAUGUCUGUCGCUCCCUGGACUAUCGCUGGCUGUACGACGGAGACGCUGUGAGUCAUUGUCCACCGCCCCUCGGUAUCUUUUCCUGUGGUUUGCAAGUACA